Molecule: ribosomal RNA, 253 nt
Filed under: uncultured bacterium
Lineage: Bacteria
Description: partial 16S ribosomal RNA
Rfam family: Bacterial small subunit ribosomal RNA
Source: RNAcentral
UACGUAGGCAGCGAGCGUUGUUCGGAGUUACUGGGCGUAAAGGGUGUGUAGGCGGUUCUUUAAGUUUGGUGUGAAAUCUCCCGGCUCAACCGGGAGGGUGCGUCGAAUACUGAGGGACUAGAGUACGGGAGAGGAAAGUGGAAUUCCUGGUGUAGCGGUGAAAUGCGUAGAUAUCAGGAGGAACACCGGUGGUGUAGGCGGCUUUCUGGACCGUAACUGACGCUGAGACACGAAAGCGUGGGUAGCAAACAGG